CCUACGGGAGGCAGCAGUGGGGAAUAUUGCGCAAUGGGCGAAAGCCUGACGCAGCGACGCCGCGUGAGGGAUGAAGGUCCUCGGAUCGUUAACCUCUGUCAGCAGGGAAGAACGGUCAAUGUGCUAAACCACAGUGAAUUGACGGUACCUGCAAAGGAAGCACCGGCUCACUCCGUGCCAGCAGCCGAGGUAAUACGGAGGGUGCGAGCGUUAAGCGGAAUUAAUGGGCGUAAAGCGCGCGUAGGCGGUAUGGCAAGUCACGGGUGAAAUCCGCGCGCUCAACGUGGGAAGUGCCUUUGAUACUGGGAAACUAGAGUGUGGGAGAGGGUAGUGGAAUUCCAGGUGUAGCAGUGAAAUGCGUAGAUAUCUGGAGGAACAUCAGUGGCGAAGGCGGCUUUCUGGCACAUAACUGACGCUGAGGAGCGAAAGCGUGGGUAGCAAAAAGGAUUAGAUACCCUUGUAGUC
This 465-nucleotide ribosomal RNA is filed under the name uncultured bacterium. Its description in RNAcentral is "partial 16S ribosomal RNA". It matches the Rfam family "Bacterial small subunit ribosomal RNA", at positions 338 to 795 of the family's 1533-position model. The record is from RNAcentral.